RNAcentral lists this ribosomal RNA (593 nucleotides) under uncultured sponge symbiont RSWS27. RNAcentral's name for it is "bacterial SSU rRNA". It matches the Rfam family "Bacterial small subunit ribosomal RNA", at positions 41 to 648 of the family's 1533-position model. The record is from RNAcentral.
GGCGUGCUUAACACAUGCAAGUCGAACGAGGCAGCGGCCUUCGGGCCGUUGUCGAGUGGCGAACGGGUGAGUAACACGUGAGGAACCUGCCCCGGAGACCGGGACAACCAGGGGAAACCCUGGCUAAUACCGGAUGCCCUCGGAUGGUCGCAUGGCCAACCGAGGAAACGCUCCGGUGCUCCGGGAGGGCCUCGCGGCCUAUCAGCUUGUUGGUGGGGUAACGGCCCACCAAGGCAUCGACGGGUAGCUGGUCUGAGAGGACGAUCAGCCACACUGGGACUGAGACACGGCCCAGACUCCUACGGGAGGCAGCAGUGGGGAAUAUUGCGCAAUGGGCGAAAGCCUGACGCAGCAACGCCGCGUGGGGGAUGAAGGCCUUCGGGUUGUAAACCCCUUUCAGCAGGGACGAAAAUGACGGUACCUGCAGAAGAAGCCCCGGCCAACUACGUGCCAGCAGCCGCGGUAACACGUAGGGGGCGAGCGUUGUCCGGAUUUAUUGGGCGUAAAGAGCUCGUAGGCGGUUGCGUAAGUCGGAUGUGAAAACUCAGGGCUCAACCCGGAGACGCCAUCCGAUACUUGCGCUGACUAGAGUC